RNAcentral lists this ribosomal RNA (2222 nucleotides) under Triticum aestivum (bread wheat). RNAcentral describes it as "partial small subunit ribosomal RNA". Lineage: Eukaryota; Viridiplantae; Streptophyta; Magnoliopsida; Poales; Poaceae. The record is from RNAcentral.
GCUGUUAGAGGUGAUGAUAAUUUGUUAGGUUGUUCUUGAAAAAAUUCACGUGGGGCGUUAAUGGGGGUCGUGUGGCCUGCUGAGUAAGUGGUGGCGUGCUAAUCUGGGUGUUUAGACUUAGAUUGUCGGUAGUAACUAGAUUAUGGAGAUGCCACACGUACAUCGUUGAAGGCAACCGACUGGCACGAAGUGGACGUCCCUUAUAAGGUGGAUGCGCACACUACAGGGAUGUUAGUGCGUUUACAUUAGCGAUUGAAGAGGCACUAACGUAGAGAAGAUCGGGGACGGAGGGGCGUGGAUAGCGGUGGCGGGGAGCGAUUUUAUUUUGGGUGUGCGGGCUGCCGGCUGCUGCGUGCUGGGAGGAGGGAGCUCGUCGUCGUUGCCUCGCCGCUCAUCCCCGAGUUGGAUACAGCUGCCCGCCGCACCAGGGAGAGGAGGUAGCUCAUCGCCGUCGCCGUGCCCUGCGUCGCCCGAGCCGGAAGCAGCCACCGCCGUCCCAGGGAAAGGAGGGAGCUGGUAGCCGCCGCCGUGGCUUACGUUGUCCGCCGGUCCCUCUGCCGCGACGCACGUUCCGCGCCGUUGCUUCGACUCCCUCGGCCGGGAACACCGUGCCCCCGCGCUGCCAAGGUACCGCCGACACCCCACCUCCCGCGCACGCACUUCCGCCGCGUAAGGAAACCGAAAGCCGUACGGCGCCGUAACUGAAGGGACGACAGCAGCACGAGGGACUACGGUCGAGGAGGAAGGAGGGCGGCGACCUGUACGUGUUGUGGUAGGGUACGGGAGACAGGCGACCGGUCUCUUUCCGUAGUCACUCUUUAUACCUACUACGUGCGCUUGCCUAACCGUGAGGGUAGAGGUGACGUGACUUCCUCUAGUUCGGGUAAAGGUAGUCGUAGUUGAUCUUGGAGGGGAGCUGGACGUAGGAACGGAAAGAAAACAUAGAGGGGUUCUGACAGUUUGGUCUACUCGGACUUUCCUUGGUUCUCUUUACUGAUAAGUAAACCGAAACCAUAAUGAUAACAACUACUUGACGAGUAAACGGUCUGACAGUUUGGUCUACUCGGACUUUCCUUGAUUCUCUUUACUGAUAAGUAAAUGGUUAGAACGGUAAGAGACAUAACAGUUAAACGGUUAAGCUGACUACGAACUUACAUAAUCAUCUGUUUUACUGUACAAACAACUAGUCGAUACUAUACACAAAGGUAACCGAUGAACGGCGAAAGAUUCCCCGUCUAAAAUCGAACUGUUCUAAACACGUUUUUGUAUCGUCACGAGAACUAGACUACCUUUGAGUCUCAUCCCACAAGGUUUGAUCUAACUAUGUGCAUUCUUAAAAACUGACUAAAAAUACGAGUCUCGAUGUAUGUACGAGCGUCGCGAAGUGGAUAGGAUCUUGAAAGUAAAGUUAAAAACACAGCGAUGUUAAACAGGUAAUUAGCUAUAAGAUCGAGGUAAUUAACCAUAAGAUCGACUUUCAAAGUUUCAACAGUUAACAAAAGCUUUGAGCCAAGUGUCUCACCGACCAGGAAAAAACCCUGUAUAAACAACACAGAAAAGGGGUAAAACAGAACAUAAAACAGUAUGUGUCAAGUUAAUCGAUUAACAAUAAUACGGUAUCCAUUUAACACGUUGGAUAACGGCGAGACGGUACCCAGUGUACCAGCAGGAAGUAUGUGGCGAAAUGAUCCUGAUUGCGACUUCAUGUCUACUACCACAUAUUUUAAAGUUUUCUUCAACGGAGAACAAACCUGUGGGGCUUCGUGCCCGACCGUUCUGAUUCUAACCCGUUUCUCUCGAAGUCCUCCUGGCAAAUACUGUGGAGUGAGCUGCCAAAUAAGAAGUUCGUUCCUACCUUCUUCAAGGAGUGCUCUGUACUUUACUCUAAUCGUGACGAUAUGAUUAAUGUAAAUUCUGACAACGGUUGUUACUCAACCUCUAAUAUCAGUAGGAAAAUACAGGAAACUCUUCUAGUACAACCUGUUCAAGGUCCGAAAGUACUCAAUAAAUCAGUAAAGAGUCGCAAAAAAUUUGGUACCUCCUCUUGACGUACACUUGAAGUAUCUAUGCUCUUCUUUUCUUAUUUCCGUACAUUUUUCAAGUUAAGUAAAAGACAAAUAAAACAAAGGAGAAAGAGAUACAUGACCAAAAACUUGACACCAAACACUUAGCCUACAUAUAUAAGUACAAAAUCACACAAACAAGUGAAUAAACGUUAGCCA